This 801-nucleotide ribosomal RNA is filed under the name uncultured bacterium. Its description in RNAcentral is "bacterial SSU rRNA". It matches the Rfam family "Bacterial small subunit ribosomal RNA", at positions 103 to 883 of the family's 1533-position model. The record is from RNAcentral.
CGGGUGAGUAACGCGUGGGGAACCUACCUUUUCGUGGGGAAUAACGAUCCGAAAGGAUUGGUAAUACCGCAUGAGACCCAGGCCUGGGAUGGUUUGGGUGAAAGCCGGGGAUCGAAAGACCUGGCGCGAGAAGAGGGUCCUGCGUCUGAUUAGCUAGUUGGUGGGGUAACGGCCCACCAAGGCGUCGAUCAGUAGCCGGCCUGAGAGGGUGAUCGGCCACACUGGAACUGAGACACGGUCCAGACUCCUACGGGAGGCAGCAGUGGGGAAUUUUGCGCAAUGGGCGAAAGCCUGACGCAGCAACGCCGCGUGGGUGAUGAAGGUCUUCGGAUUGUAAAACCCUGUCGUCAGGGAUGAAGGUUGUGGGGUGAAUAGCCUUGCAGCUUGACGGUACCUGGAGAGGAAGCCCCGGCUAACUCUGUGCCAGCAGCCGCGGUAAUACAGAGGGGGCAAGCGUUAUUCGGAAUUAUUGGGCGUAAAGGGCGCGUAGGCGGUGAUUUAAGUCGGAUGUGUAAUCCCCGGGCUCAACCUGGGAACUGCAUCCGAGACUGGAUUGCUAGAGUGCUGGAGAGGGUGGUGGAAUUCCUCGUGUAGCGGUGAAAUGCGUAGAGAUGAGGAGGAACACCAGUGGCGAAGGCGGCCACCUGGACAGUAACUGACGCUGAGGCGCGAAAGUGUGGGGAGCAAACAGGAUUAGAUAACCCUGGUAGUCCACGCUGUAAACGAUGAACACUUGGUGUGGUGGGAGUUGACCUCGCCGUGCCGUACCUAACUCGAAAAAGUGUUCCGCCUGGGGAGAAC